AUAUGCCUUAUGGUGGGGGACAACAGUUGGAAACGACUGCUAAUACCGCAUGAUGUCUACGGACCAAAGUGGGGGACCUUCGGGCCUCACGCCAUAAGAUUAGCCCAAGUGGGAUUAGCUAGUUGGUGAGGUAAUGGCUCACCAAGGCGACGAUCCCUAGCUGGUUUGAGAGGAUGAUCAGCCACACUGGGACUGAGACACGGCCCAGACUCCUACGGGAGGCAGCAGUGGGGAAUAUUGCACAAUGGGCGCAAGCCUGAUGCAGCCAUGCCGCGUGUGUGAAGAAGGCCCUCGGGUUGUAAAGCACUUUCAGUAAGGAGGAAAGGUUAAGUGUUAAUAGCACUUAGCUGUGACGUUACUUACAGAAGAAGCACCGGCUAACUCCGUGCCAGCAGCCGCGGUAAUACGGAGGGUGCGAGCGUUAAUCGGAAUUACUGGGCGUAAAGCGUACGCAGGCGGUUUGUUAAGCGAGAUGUGAAAGCCCCGGGCUCGACCUGGGAACUGCAUUUCGAACUGGCAAACUAGAGUGUGAUAGAGGGUGGUAGAAUUUU
Molecule: ribosomal RNA, 551 nt
Filed under: uncultured bacterium
Lineage: Bacteria
Description: bacterial SSU rRNA
Rfam family: Bacterial small subunit ribosomal RNA
Source: RNAcentral